RNAcentral lists this ribosomal RNA (301 nucleotides) under uncultured bacterium. Its description in RNAcentral is "partial 16S ribosomal RNA". It matches the Rfam family "Bacterial small subunit ribosomal RNA", at positions 509 to 809 of the family's 1533-position model. The record is from RNAcentral.
CAGCCGCCGCGGGAAUACGGAGGGGGCUAGCGUUGUUCGGAAUUACUGGGCGUAAAGCGCACGUAGGCGGCUUUGUAAGUUAGAGGUGAAAGCCCGGGGCUCAACUCCGGAAUUGCCUUUAAGACUGCAUCGCUUGAAUCGCGGAGAGGUGAGUGGAAUUCCGAGUGUAGAGGUGAAAUUCGUAGAUAUUCGGAAGAACACCAGUGGCGAAGGCGGCUCACUGGACGCGUAUUGACGCUGAGGUGCGAAAGCGUGGGGAGCAAACAGGAUUAGAUACCCCGGUAGUCCCUGUCUCUUAUAA